UCAUCUGGCAACACUGCCUGAGGAACACAAACAAACACAACAUACAUCAGACAGACCACACCGGCCACAGCGGCGCAAUCACAAUAACACUUAUAACAGUGACAGUCGGUGGUGCUGGUGGCGGUGCAGUGGUGCUGGCUGCAUCCUGGAGGUGGAGAGUGACAAGAAGUGUUGAUUGCUGAGAACAAUGGAGUAAUAUCUCAACACAACACAAGUGACAGCCAUGUCUAAGGAAGAGGACAGUGCAAAAAACCCUGAGGGGGCAUGGGCAGCAGCAGGGUUUGCUGUGGUGCUGCUGGUGGUGGGGGUACCUGUAUGGUGGUUCACAACCACUGUGUACCGUGCACAGCUGCCUUACAGCACCAUUGAGACACUCUCCAGCCAGCUGCGGCACCACACUGUUGGCCUCACUAUCGUGGGCUCCAUGCCGCCAUUGUUCCAAGAUGACUUGGCCAAGAGUCUUGGAUCAAUGCAGAGUGUGAGGUUCCAGAUGUCUCAGAGGCAGCCCACCAAGGAGGAGCGUCAGGCCCUGCACUCCGCCAAGACUCCUGACGAGCUGGACCGACAAAUGAGCCAGCUGGUGCGGGUGGCGGCUGGCAUGCUGGCAGUGGUGGUGGUGCCAGAAACCAUGGAGGUCAAAGAAGUGGUGGUGGGCACAGACCGUCUCAUCUACAUUAAGCCCAGUGCUGACCUUCAAGUUGUGUCCAAUGUGGUAAGGAACAUGGUGAUGGACCCGUUGGCCAGCCGGUACGCCUUCACCAGUCGACCGCUGCACCACAAGAAGGAGGCUAUGAGACAGGUGCCCACUGAACCUGGCUAUGAUGUGACCCUGACAUUGAUGGUGCCAGAGCCUCACCGCACCAAGAUAGAGUGGGACGCCAGGGCUGCAGUGACAGAUUACCUGAGUCCUGUGGUGAAGCAGCUAGAGAAGGUUAGCAAGCUGACAGUGCGCUCCCAGGUGCUGUACAUGACGGGCCUCAGUGUGUCUCCGCAGUGGUCCGAGGCACACCGCCACUAUGCUCUGCCUGAGAAUCAGCUGCCACUCACCAUCAAUGCCAUCGAGGCCAAACUAGGAUCCUUUGUGUGGACCCGGCCUUCCCUACACUUUGUGGUGUACAUUCCUCGAGAGAAGCAGCUGCCCCUCCACAUCCAUGCUGCAGAUGGCUCUCCUCUGCCCUCCAACAGCUUCUUGGUGCCUCGGUGGGGAGGUGUGAUGAUCCACAAUGUGCCCAACGCGGCGCCCAACGUCUCACUGCCACGCCCCGUCACCCUUGACUCUCACUGGAUCAUGAGCACUGUCCUCACCCACCUGCACCGCCUGCUGCCCAUCCCCUCCCUGAGAGAAAUAGAGGGUGUGGAGACUCUUGCUCUGAAGGACUCUUCAAUGCUGACAGCCUGGCAACUAGACGGUUUAGCCCGGGCCAGGGUUUCAGCUUACUUGUCCAACAUCCGCAUCACACUGCAGUCACUGUGUGAGCUGGUGGGGGAGAUUAGCAACAUGGUGAUCAGCGAUGAGGUUGGAGGAUGGGUGUGGGGUGCAGUGGAGGAGUGGGGGGAGUGUGGCCGGGCAACCAGAGAGGGGCGCCUUCAGGAUGCAACGCUGUACUGCACCAGGUCCUUCACACAGGCUGACGCAGCGUUCUUCCACCCCUCCAUGCUGGCGCUGCUCUACUUCCCCGACAACCAAAAGUAUGCUAUCUAUGUGCCCCUGUUCCUGCCUGUGAGCAUACCAGUGCUGCUGUCCCUCAAGAUGGUGUUUGGCCUUUGCAGGAAGUCAAGUGCCAAGGAAAAAAGCGAGUAAAUGUACUGUACAUAAAGUACAUACUCUUGAACUAACCAUUUCAUAGCUCACAGUUGUUAACGUUUGUAGUGAUUUCAUGAUUAGGACAUGAUAACACAUUCCAUGUAAAGUUAAGCAAUUGUGUGAAUUGAAAGUUUAGCUUUGGACAGUUUAGUUUUUCAGAUUCACUGUAUGUACAUGGUUCUGGCAAGAAGUUGUAUAGUUUGAUGUUUGAUUAGGCUCCUCCUGGGGCCAGGGGAGAUGCAUUGUGCUGUGGGGACUUGUCUUUGUAUACACUGUACUAGUAUUGAUAAACAGGUAAAUAAGUAUGGCAUGCAAGCUGAGGAAUUGUAAUCUUAGCAGGAAUGGGUGAUUAACAUUGUUCUCAUGUGUGUGUGUGUGUGUGUGUGUGUGUGUGUGUGUGUGUGUGUGUGUGUGUGUGUGUGUGUGUGUGUGUGUGUGUUUAUGUGUCAUUCACUGACAGUCAUCUGCUAGUCACCCAGUCAGCCAUUCUCCUUCAGAAGGAGCUCAGAGCUCUUAGUGAUCGAUAUUUGCGUACAAUUGCCUCACCAUGCCUGGGACUCUUACCUGGCCCUUCUCAGUUAUGGGCCAAGUGUGCUAACCAGUGUGUGUGUGUGUGUGUGUGUGUGUGUGUGUGUGUGUGUGUGUGUGUGUGUGUGUGUGUGUGUGUGUGUGUGUGUAAGUGAAUUUCUCUUUGAGGUGUAUGACAUUACCAUCCAGGAGCACUGUUCUGAAGUAUGUCAGGGUAUAUAGGUGUGGAAGUGUGGGAUGCUAUGACAGCUGUGAGUCACUUGUAAUCCCUUUCAUGCAUUACUGAGGCUUGUGUGGUCCUGCUGAAUAGGAGUCGCUACAAUGAUGACAAAAUAUCUCUCUAUCUAUAUACCAGGCUGGCAGUCCCACACAGGGCAGCCCACACACUCAUACACAAUGUUCUCGCUCUUAACCUGUCAGCUCCUGAUGGCAAGAGAUCCCUGGCCCAUCCUGCCACACACUACACAGGAACCUAGACAUAACACAGCUGGCCACAUACCUCCACAGCAAGGUCAGGCAGCAAACAAUGGCUUACACUUGAUGGACAGCCUCUUGCAGCCUUCCUCAUUUUCUUAUGCCUUGUGUUCACAAUGAGACCACUCUUUACAAAAAUACAUGUACACAUAGAAAUAGUGUUAAUGAAGUUAAUACCAUUCUUAAGACUUUUGGAAAACAAACUAAUGUAAAAGGCAAGCUUGAGAGGGUCACUGGAUCAGACUCUUGACAGGCCAUUCAAGGUAACACAAAGCAAACACAUCACCAACAUGAUCACCAAUGCUUGAGUGGGUUGGGUUGGCCUUGACUGUCUGGCUAGCACACAGUCAAUGCAGUGUUUUGUGUUGGCUGGUAAGGAAAAUGACUUUUGUUCAUUGUGAGUGUGAAGUGUGAUGCUUUUUUAGGUUGUGUUGUGUGCUGGUGUGGUCCUGGUAGCAUAGAGUCUUAGCAAGUCUAGCUAGAUAACCCAGAAGUGGUCAGUGUGUCUAUGAGAGAAGUGGUUGCAGUGCUGUUGUAAGAUACUUGUAAAUAAAAUGUGGUAUGGACUC
RNA transcript from Portunus trituberculatus (swimming crab), 3375 nucleotides. It is a transcript of the gene named GPI transamidase component PIG-S-like, with no coding region annotated. The record is from RefSeq and is a predicted model, not a curated record. The transcript has 12 exons. NCBI's taxonomy places the organism in Eukaryota, Metazoa, Arthropoda, Malacostraca, Decapoda, Portunidae.